AGUGAACGCUGGCGGUAGGCCUAACACAUGCAAGUCGAACGGCAGCACAGUAAGAGCUUGCUCUUACGGGUGGCGAGUGGCGGACGGGUGAGGAAUACAUCGGAAUCUACUUUUUCGUGGGGGAUAACGUAGGGAAACUUACGCUAAUACCGCAUACGACCUACGGGUGAAAGCAGGGGAUCUUCGGACCUUGCGCGAUUGAAUGAGCCGAUGUCGGAUUAGCUAGUUGGCGGGGUAAAGGCCCACCAAGGCGACGAUCCGUAGCUGGUCUGAGAGGAUGAUCAGCCACACUAGAACUGAGACACGGUCCAGACUCCUACGGGAGGCAGCAGUGGGGAAUAUCGGACAAUGGGCGCAAGCCUGAUCCAGCCAUACCGCGUGGGUUAAGAAGGCCUUCGGGUUGUAAAGCCCUUUUGUUGGGAAAGAAAAGCAGCAGGUUAAUACCCCGCUGUUCUGACGGUACCCAAAGAAUAAGCACCGGCUAACUUCGUG
RNAcentral lists this ribosomal RNA (492 nucleotides) under uncultured bacterium. Its description in RNAcentral is "partial 16S ribosomal RNA". It matches the Rfam family "Bacterial small subunit ribosomal RNA", at positions 29 to 507 of the family's 1533-position model. The record is from RNAcentral.